This 242-nucleotide unclassified non-coding RNA is filed under the name Hevea brasiliensis (rubber tree). The record is from RNAcentral. Lineage: Eukaryota; Viridiplantae; Streptophyta; Magnoliopsida; Malpighiales; Euphorbiaceae.
AUUUGCUCAAAACCUAUGCCUUAAUUAACAAUAGUUCCUCGUGCUAUGAUCACAUGGCAUAAUUACCAUAGAAUGGAGUACGAUACCGCAGGCUUCUGUUCGAUUGGUAAUCAAUACAUUUUAAACAUUCUGCCGGAAGAUGAGAAAAAGCAGGAUUGGAAAAUGGGAAAAGCAAACAAACUUGUAAUAGUUCAUUACUGGGACACAAUAUUUUACAUUUCCUAACAUAAAAAUUAGAAUAC